This 253-nucleotide ribosomal RNA is filed under the name uncultured bacterium. RNAcentral describes it as "partial 16S ribosomal RNA". It matches the Rfam family "Bacterial small subunit ribosomal RNA", at positions 524 to 776 of the family's 1533-position model. The record is from RNAcentral.
GACAGAGGGUGCAAACGUUGUUCGGAAUUACUGGGCGUAAAGCGCGUGCAGGCGGCAAGGCAGGUCGGAUGUGAAAGCCCGCGGCUCAACCGUGGAAGUGCACUCGAAACCGCCUAGCUGGAGUCUCGGAGAGGAAGGUGGAAUGCUUGGUGUAGAGGUGAAAUUCGUAGAUAUCAAGCAGAACACCUGUGGCGAAGGCGGGUCUCUGGGCAGUAACUGACGCUGAGGAGCGAAAGCGUGGGGAGCGAACAGG